Zingiber officinale is the source of this 2129-nucleotide long non-coding RNA. RefSeq lists it as uncharacterized. NCBI's taxonomy places the organism in Eukaryota, Viridiplantae, Streptophyta, Magnoliopsida, Zingiberales, Zingiberaceae. The record is from RefSeq and is a predicted model, not a curated record. The transcript is spliced from 5 exons.
AAAGAGUAAGAGGAAGAAGAACAAUUGAGUGACCUACUACUUUUCUUUACUGGGCGUGAUGCCAUAAUCGAUUUUGAUUCUUUAGGUAAACCAAAAAUAUAAAACUAUUUUGUCUACUGCAAAGAGUUGACCUAUGCUUGUUUUGGUUAAAAAGACACAAAUGAGACAUUUGUGUCUCUUUAACCAAAACCAGCAUAGUUUCAAGCAUAGGCCAACUCUUAGCCGUAACUGUUUUUGGUUUACCUAAGGAAUCGAUUAUGACAUCACACCCAAUAAAGAAAAUUAGUAAGCCGCUCAAUUGUUCUUCUUCCUCUUACUUUUUCUUGGACCAUCUCCUUUAUCAUUUCUAUCACUUCUUUCUUUAGGAACAUUAGCUUCAUUAGCUUCAGCUUGCUAUUUUACAUCACCACUAGUAACAGCAUUUUUCAGCAAAUUAUCAUUAUCAUAUUUACUUUAUUAUGAUGUAUCUUUAUACUUGUUCUCCCAUAGCCGCUCUCUUCAACAUAAACUGUUUCAUCUCCUUCAUUUCCUCCAACAACAACAUAUGAUUUUUUUCCAACUCCUCUAAUUUUGUUUUAUGUUCUUUCUUUAAACUUUCAUAUUUAUUCAAUUUUUCUUCUAUUUUAUCAAUGCAGUGCAAAUACUCUUUUUUCUGAUCAAUAUAUUGCACAUAUUUAACAUCUUAUCCAUCUUCCCAGCUACUGACAAUCUCCCACACAUGACUUGUAAUUUGUAAUCUUAAUUUAAAAGAAAAUGCCAAUAUCAAUUAGAAAAGUUAAAUUAAAAAUAACUCAUUUUAUACUUAAUCAUGUUAAGAUGAAAUUAUACAAAUUUUAAUUCUAUAAUCUGCUACUUAACUUGAUUACUUAAAUAAAUAAACUUUGCAGUUAAUAAAGAUCACAGAAAUUAAAAUUUAUGAAGAAAGCAAUAAAAAAUAACAAAUAGUUUUAGGUUAUCUUGAUGCAUGUCAAGUGAUGUGGAUGAGAGUCAACAUAAUAAGUUGGUUAUCAAAAGAAGCUGUCGAGCAACCUUCAAUGUACGAUAAUUUAAUUACGAGCUUCAACGACUCUUCUGUUGCUUCGACUCCACUCUGCUAGUAUGCUAUUGCUUCGAGGACAUCCGACCGCUAUCGGCAGGCUGACACCAACACACGAGCCCAUUCAGACUCUACAACUUCAAGUGUUGGACCUGAUUUUGGCUCUCCCCGAAGUCACUCGUAGAAAACUAGUUUCUGUUUUGCAUCAAAAUGGGAAAACUUGUUCUCUCAUUGUUGAUAUUUCUAUACUUAGGAAGUAUUUUGAUGAAUUUUGCAAUACAAGUCCAGUAGCUUCAGAUUCUGAGGCCCUUUCUAAAGCUAUAAAACAGGUCAAGAAUGAUAAAGUAAGCUUUAUCUGGACCCACUUUACGAGCUUAUUCUCUUAUUUUCAUAAAGCAAGUUCAGGAUGUUGAAAAGUUACAGUAUCGAGUUGCAGAGGUUAUAUCAUCCCUGACAUGUAAAAAAAAGUCAGCCAGGGCAGCCAUAAGUUAUGGUUUAGUAAGCUCAAAAUUGACUGACAUUUUAUCUGGGAAUAAUGAUAAAGUACAAAAGCUACAGUUAGUUAUUUCUACUGGCCAUGGAGAUACAACUAUUGUCCAAAGAUUAAGGAAAUUGCUUAAAGAGGAUCAUGAGAAAAUAAUCAGCCAGGAAGAAGUUGUGAAAGCCUUGGGAGAACUCCAAGCACAAGUUGAAGUAGCACUUUAUUUUGCUAGCGUCGAACAUUGACUUUGCAUUGUAGUGCUUGUUUUCAAGAAUAUUUUCAAGCAGGAUAUUUGACAGUCCACAAGAUUAGAACCAGUAACAGCUUGCGGCACAUCAUUGUAUGACAUGGUAUGACAUAAUCACUGGAGAGAUCCAUCGUUGUAGCGUUGCCAUAUUUAUACAAAAUGAUACAUACAACUCUGCCUAAGCGGAAGAAAAUCAUUUUUCUAAUUUUAUUCAAUAUUAAUUUUGAUAGUCAAAACACUUUCAUUUUGUAUAUGAACCCUAACGGUAUAACAUGCUGUGUACCCUGAUUAAACUGAGCCCGUCCUAAGACCGAUGAGUAUGUUAUUAGUUUGUCCCAGGAAAUGAAAAGGUUAUUACUCCUGCA